Molecule: ribosomal RNA, 441 nt
Filed under: uncultured bacterium
Lineage: Bacteria
Description: partial 16S ribosomal RNA
Rfam family: Bacterial small subunit ribosomal RNA
Source: RNAcentral
CCUACGGGUGGCAGCAGUGGGGGAUAUUGCACAAUGGGGGAAACCCUGAUGCAGCGACGCCGCGUGGGUGAAGGAGUGCUUCGGCAUGUAAAGCUCUAUCGGCAGGGAAGAAGCAAGACGGUACUUGACUAAGAACCCCCGGCAAACUACGUCCCAGCAGCCGCGGUAAUACGUAGGGGGCGAGCGUUAUCCGGUUUCACUGGGUGUAAAGGGAGCGAAGACGGCCAUGCAAGCUAGGGGUGAAAGCCCGGGGCCCAACCCCGGGACUGCCCUUGAAACUGCGUGGCUGGAGUGCGGGAGGGGCAGGCGGAAUUCCUGGUGUAGCGGUGAAAUGCGUAGAUAUCAGGAGGAACACCGGCGGCGAAGGCGGCCUGCUGGACUGCGACUGACGUUGAGGCUCGAAAGCGUGGGGAGCGAACAGGAUUAGAUACCCGAGUAGUC